GAAACAGAAGCAAGAAAGACAUGUUCUCUAUGGUGUGCAGCAACACCGGGUCGUAGUAGGUAUCAAGUGGUUGAAUGUUUGUCAACUGCUUGGAGAAGGGACUUAUCAACUUCAGCAGUCAUGGGUGACAGAUGGACACAAAUUCCAGAUGAAAUGAGAUGUCCAGUUCAUGAUAUACAAUGGAUAAAAUUAACUUGAAAGAUAUGGGAUGUGGACAGAAGAUAGAAGUUUUCAGCUAAAGUCUGGGUGAAGGCAUUUUCCAACAUUAGAGGGUUGUGGAACUUCACCAUUGAUUCACCAAGGCCCAGACAUUAUACAAGAAGACUGGGUAUGCUAGACUGUUGGAACUAGUGUUACAAAAAAAAUCUGGUAUUGGAUUGGACAGGAAUGGCAUUCUCUAGCAUUGGUUGUGUUGGACAUUAUUCUAUGUGUAUAGGUGUGUCUUCCACCAUCACUUGAACAGUGUUUGUGAUUAAACUAAGAAUCCAGUGUGGUGUAAUGUUGUAUCUGCCUUGAAAGCUCCAGAGAAGAAAGUUGGAAGGAUGCCCAUUAUGUAAGGGCAGAAAAAUUGGUGUUUGUGGAAUGUUUUGUCUGCUUUGAAAGCCCCUGAGAAGAAAGUUGGAAGGACCCAUUAUAUAAGAGCAGAAAAUGGUUGGUUCGUCCCAGGAAAAAGAGUUAACAAUUUGGCAUGGCUAAGGCAGAUUCCUGCAGUUUCAUCACAGCACUGCAUCUGUUUAGGGGUUUGUGAGUAAACUGAGCAGCAAGUCUACAGUGUGGUGAAAUUUCUGCUUUGAAAGCUCCUAAGAAAGUUGGAAGGACCCAUUAUAUAAGUGCAGAAAAUGGUUGGUUCAUUCCGGAGAUGAUGAUGUUAACAAUUCGGCAUGGCUGAGGUUGCCUUCUGCAGUUUCAUCACAACACUGUCUGUGUUUAGAUUUUGUACCUUGUUUUGGAUGCAAGAUUGUCUGGCCUAUUGAGCAGAGGUACUUUAUUCCUCAAGUCUCCCGCUUCAAGCAGUUGCUGGUACUUGUUACUUAAAUGGAUCAACUUGGUUUUAUGAAAGAUGCUGUUCAGGAGUGUAAAUCUGUUUAAUUUCUCAUUACCUGUACUGCAUUGUUACUGUCACAAAGGAGAAUAAAUGAAGUAAACCUG
RNAcentral lists this long non-coding RNA (1149 nucleotides) under Homarus americanus (American lobster). RNAcentral's name for it is "uncharacterized LOC121875212, transcript variant X3". Lineage: Eukaryota; Metazoa; Arthropoda; Malacostraca; Decapoda; Nephropidae. The record is from RNAcentral.